AUGGCUCAGGAUGAACGCUAGCUACAGGCUUAACACAUGCAAGUCGAGGGGCAGCAUUAUCGAAGCUUGCUUUGAUAGAUGGCGACCGGCGCACGGGUGAGUAACGCGUAUCCAACCUUCCCCAUAGUAGGGCAUAGCCCGUAGAAAUGCGGAUUAAUACCCUAUGUAUUCCGAGGAUGACAUCUGAUUCGGAACAAAGGUUCACCGCUAUGGGAUGGGGAUGCGUCUGAUUAGGUAGUAGGCGGGGUAACGGCCCACCUAGCCGACGAUCAGUAGGGGUUCUGAGAGGAAGGUCCCCCACAUUGGAACUGAGACACGGUCCAAACUCCUACGGGAGGCAGCAGUGAGGAAUAUUGGUCAAUGGGCGAGAGCCUGAACCAGCCAAGUAGCGUGCAGGAAGACGGCCCUAUGGGUUGUAAACUGCUUUUAUACAGGGAUAAAGUCGGGGACGCGUUCCCCGUUUGCAGGUACUGUAUGAAUAAGGACCGGCUAAUUCCGUGCCAGCCGCAGC
This 511-nucleotide ribosomal RNA is filed under the name uncultured bacterium. Its description in RNAcentral is "bacterial SSU rRNA". It matches the Rfam family "Bacterial small subunit ribosomal RNA", at positions 19 to 518 of the family's 1533-position model. The record is from RNAcentral.